GACGAACGCUGGCUGCGUGCUUAACACAUGCAAGUCGAACGGAAAGGCCCUGCUUUUGUUGGUUGCUCGAUUGGCGAACGGGUGAGUAACACGUGAGUAACCUGCCCUUGUCUUUGGGAUAACUUCAGGAAACUGGGGCUAAUACCGGAUAUGAGCUCCUGCUGCAUGUUGGGGGUUGGAAAGUUUCGGCGGUUGGGGAUGGACUCGCGGCUUAUCAGCUUGUUGGUGGGGUAGUGGCUUACCAAGGCUUUGACGGGUAGCCGGCCUGAGAGGGUGACCGGCCACAUUGGGACUGAGAUACGGCCCAGACUCCUACGGGAGGCAGCAGUGGGGAAUAUUGCACAAUGGGCGGAAGCCUGAUGCAGCAACGCCGCGUGCGGGAUGACGGCCUUCGGGUUGUAAACCGCUUUCGCCUGUGACGAAGCGUGAGUGACGGUAAUGGGUAAAGAAGCACCGGCUAACUACGUG
Molecule: ribosomal RNA, 468 nt
Filed under: uncultured bacterium
Lineage: Bacteria
Description: partial 16S ribosomal RNA
Rfam family: Bacterial small subunit ribosomal RNA
Source: RNAcentral